RNAcentral lists this ribosomal RNA (901 nucleotides) under uncultured bacterium. Its description in RNAcentral is "bacterial SSU rRNA". It matches the Rfam family "Bacterial small subunit ribosomal RNA", at positions 53 to 944 of the family's 1533-position model. The record is from RNAcentral.
ACAUGCAAGUCGAGGGGCAGCAUGGUCUUAGCUUGCUAAGGCUGAUGGCGACCGGCGCACGGGUGAGUAACACGUAUCCAACCUGCCGUCUACUCUUGGCCAGCCUUCUGAAAGGAAGAUUAAUCCAGGAUGGGAUCAUGAGUUCACAUGUCCGCAUGAUUAAAGGUAUUUUCCGGUAGACGAUGGGGAUGCGUUCCAUUAGAUAGUAGGCGGGGUAACGGCCCACCUAGUCAACGAUGGAUAGGGGUUCUGAGAGGAAGGUCCCCCACAUUGGAACUGAGACACGGUCCAAACUCCUACGGGAGGCAGGAGUGAGGAAUAUUGGUCAAUGGGCGAUGGCCUGAACCAGCCAAGUAGCGUGAAGGAUGACUGCCCUAUGGGUUGUAAACUUCUUUUAUAAAGGAAUAAAGUCGGGUAUGCAUACCCGUUUGCAUGUACUUUAUGAAUAAGGAUCGGCUAACUCCGUGCCAGCAGCCGCGGUAAUACGGAGGAUCCGAGCGUUAUCCGGAUUUAUUGGGUUUAAAGGGAGCGUAGAUGGAUGUUUAAGUCAGUUGUGAAAGUUUGCGGCUCAACCGUAAAAUUGCAGUUGAUACUGGAUGUCUUGAGUGCAGUUGAGGCAGGCGGAAUUCGUGGUGUAGCGGUGAAAUGCUUAGAUAUCACGAAGAACUCCGAUUGCGAAGGCAGCCUGCUAAGCUGCAACUGACAUUGAGGCUCGAAAGUGUGGGUAUCAAACAGGAUUAGAUACCCUGGUAGUCCACACGGUAAACGAUGAAUACUCGCUGUUUGCGAUAUACGGCAAGCGGCCAAGCGAAAGCGUUAAGUAUUCCACCUGGGGAGUACGCCGGCAACGGUGAAACUCAAAGGAAUUGACGGGGGCCCGCACAAGCGGAGGAACAUGUGG